CUACGGGCGGCUGCAGUCAAGAAUCUUCCCCAAUGCACGAAAGUGUGAGGGAGCGACGCCGCGUGUAUGAAGACGCCCUUCGGGGUGUAAAGUACUUUUCUAUGGGACGAAUUUCUGACGGUACCAUAGGAAUAAGGGGCUGCUAACCUCGUGCCAGCAGCAGCGGUAAUACGAGGGCCCCAAGCGUUAUCCGGAUUUAUUGGGCGUAAAGGGUCCGUAGGCGGCUCGACGCAUCUCCUGUUAAAUCUAUCGGCUCAACCGGUAGGCCGCGGGAGAGAUGAUCGAGCUAGAGGCCGGGAGAGGCGAGUAGAAUUGCUGGUGUAGGGGUUAAAUCCGUUAAUAUCAGCAGGAAUACCAAAUGCGAAAGCAGCUCGCUGGAACGUGCCUGACGCUCAGGGACGAAAGCGUGGGUAGCGAAUGGGAUUAGAUACCCCCGUAGUC
RNAcentral lists this ribosomal RNA (441 nucleotides) under uncultured bacterium. RNAcentral describes it as "partial 16S ribosomal RNA". It matches the Rfam family "Bacterial small subunit ribosomal RNA", at positions 339 to 795 of the family's 1533-position model. The record is from RNAcentral.